UCCAAUUCUAGGUGAUGAUUGUUACAAGGACGCCAAGCUACACUGCGGGCAUGGGAAAGUUAUACAGCAUGACGAAAUAUGAGCAGAAUACAGACUUCAUUCCCCCUCUCGGACUCGUAAGAGUCCGAAACCUGAAAAGUAGAACAAGAUGCAAAUGCAUGCAACAAUGACCACAUGUUGAUCGUUAAGGGAUGUCCCUGUCCAUGGUGUGUCAGAUGUCCUCCGGGGCGGGGUCAUGAA
Long non-coding RNA from Hippocampus comes (tiger tail seahorse), 240 nucleotides. RefSeq lists it as uncharacterized. Lineage: Eukaryota; Metazoa; Chordata; Actinopteri; Syngnathiformes; Syngnathidae. The record is from RefSeq and is a predicted model, not a curated record. The transcript has 2 exons.